Molecule: ribosomal RNA, 253 nt
Filed under: uncultured bacterium
Lineage: Bacteria
Description: partial 16S ribosomal RNA
Rfam family: Bacterial small subunit ribosomal RNA
Source: RNAcentral
GACGUAGGGCGCGAGCGUUGUCCGGAUUUAUUGGGCGUAAAGAGCUCGUAGGCGGCUCGUUGCGUCGGCUGUGAAAACCCGCAGCUCAACUGUGGGCUUGCAGCCGAUACGGGCGGGCUGGGAUUCGGUAGGGGAGACUGGAAUUCCUGGUGUAGCGGUGAAAUGCGCAGAUAUCAGGAAGAACACCCGUGGCUAAGGCGGCUCUCUAGUACGGUACUGACGCUGAGACGCGAAAGCGUGGGGAGCGAACAGG